AUUGAACGCUGGCGGCAUGCCUUACACAUGCAAGUCGAACGGCAGCACGGGUGCUUGCACCUGGUGGCGAGUGGCGAACGGGUGAGUAAUACAUCGGCACAUGUCCUGUAGUGGGGGAUAGCCCGGCGAAAGCCGGAUUAAUACCGCAUACGAUCUACGGAUGAAAGCGGGGGACCUUCGGGCCUCGCGCUAUAGGGUUGGCCGAUGGCUGAUUAGCUAGUUGGUGGGGUAAAGGCCUACCAAGGCGACGAUCAGCAGCUGGUCUGAGAGGACGACCAGCCACACUGGGACUGAGACACGGCCCAGACUCCUACGGGAGGCAGCAGUGGGGAAUUUUGGACAAUGGGCGAAAGCCUGAUCCAGCAAUGCCGCGUGUGUGAAGAAGGCCUUCGGGUUGUAAAGCACUUUUGUCCGGAAAGAAAUCCUUGGCCCUAAUACGGUCGGGGGAUGACGGUACCGGAAGAAUAAGCACCGGCUAACUACGUG
Molecule: ribosomal RNA, 486 nt
Filed under: uncultured bacterium
Lineage: Bacteria
Description: partial 16S ribosomal RNA
Rfam family: Bacterial small subunit ribosomal RNA
Source: RNAcentral